AGUCGUAGUAUAAUGGAUAGAACGCUAGACUCCGACUCUGGAAAUGCGGGUUCGAUUCCCGCCGAUUGC
This 69-nucleotide transfer RNA is filed under the name uncultured Agathobacter sp. It matches the Rfam family "tRNA". From Rfam's summary of the family: Transfer RNA (tRNA) molecules are approximately 80 nucleotides in length. Their secondary structure includes four short double-helical elements and three loops (D, anti-codon, and T loops). The record is from RNAcentral. Lineage: Bacteria; Bacillati; Bacillota; Clostridia; Lachnospirales; Lachnospiraceae.